Molecule: long non-coding RNA, 199 nt
Organism: Cucumis sativus (cucumber)
Lineage: Eukaryota; Viridiplantae; Streptophyta; Magnoliopsida; Cucurbitales; Cucurbitaceae
Exons: 2
Source: RefSeq, a predicted model, not a curated record
CCGGUUUUAGAAUUCGACGAAAUCAUAUAUUGGAAGAUGCUUUCAGUCAGAUGAGUGCAUUGUCUGAAGGUGAUCUUCGAGGAUCGAUACGUGUGUCUUUUGUUAAUGAAUUUGGAGUUGAGGAGGCAGGAAUUGAUGGUGGUGGUAUUUUUAAAGAUGUCAUGGAGAACAUUACACGGGCAGCCUUUGACGUGCAGUA